Molecule: ribosomal RNA, 253 nt
Filed under: uncultured bacterium
Lineage: Bacteria
Description: partial 16S ribosomal RNA
Rfam family: Bacterial small subunit ribosomal RNA
Source: RNAcentral
UACGGAGGGGGCUAGCGUUGUUCGGAAUUACUGGGCGUAAAGCGCACGUAGGCGGUUACUCAAGUCAGAGGUGAAAGCCCGGAGCUCAACUUCGGAAUUGCCUUUGAAACUAGGUGACUUGAACGUCGGAGAGGUGAGUGGAAUUCCGAGUGUAGAGGUGAAAUUCGUAGAUAUUCGGAAGAACACCAGUGGCGAAGGCGGCUCACUGGACGACUGUUGACGCUGAGGUGCGAAAGCGUGGGGAGCAAACAGG